This 85-nucleotide transfer RNA is filed under the name Pedospumella sp. Jangsampo120217C5. Its description in RNAcentral is "tRNA-Leu". It matches the Rfam family "tRNA". Rfam says of the family: Transfer RNA (tRNA) molecules are approximately 80 nucleotides in length. The record is from RNAcentral. Lineage: Eukaryota; Chrysophyceae; Chromulinales; Chromulinaceae.
GGGAACAUGGUGAAAUGGUAGACACAACAGACUUAAAAUCUGUAGGCUUAUAACGGCCGUGAGGGUUCAAGUCCCUCUGUUCCCA